Long non-coding RNA from Rosa chinensis, 904 nucleotides. RefSeq lists it as uncharacterized. NCBI's taxonomy places the organism in Eukaryota, Viridiplantae, Streptophyta, Magnoliopsida, Rosales, Rosaceae. The transcript has 3 exons. The record is from RefSeq and is a predicted model, not a curated record.
UUCAUCAGCUUUAUGCCAAUUUACUAUCGCCUCAAACAUUUUCAUGUGUUCAAUGAUAAAUUUUGAAUUCAAAUUAAAUUUUCAUUUCAACCAGGUGUGUGAUUUUUCUAUCCUUUUGUACACUGUUCUUCAUUUUUACUAAACAGCCACAAUCUGGAUUGAACAUGAUUGAAUCUGUCUGUGCUCUUUGUCUUAAUGGACUGGCUAAAUUGAUUAAUAAAUCAUUAAGUUGGCCAACCUUCAUUCUAAAUACCUACAAAUCAGAAUGUUGUUCUUCUCUACAACCCAAUCAAACUAAACUAAGUAAUUGUCAGUGUUUCCUUUCAACUGAUUUGUUUUAGGAUAUUUAACCCUGAGUAUAAAUAAUGACCUUAUUCUCAUCAAACAUACUACUGUCUUUUUAGCUUUUUAUUAGCUGCUAAAUUUACAAGACCUUUCUCUUUGUUUCUGGCAUCAACUAAUGAUCAAAGCAAUGUUCAUUUUUGUUUUGUUGUCUAGAAGAAGUGUGAAAGCCAAGAUUGGGAAGCUACUGUUCACUGUUGUCAGCAAGCUCUUAUUGUUUGCACUUUGAGUUUUGACACCUCCACAUUUGAACUAUGUAUUGCUGGAGCUAUCAUUAAUAUCGCUUUGCCUCCAUUUCCUGCAAUUCAUAUUACCACCCUUUUUCUUCUUUACUUUUACCGUGCCUUCUUGCUGUAUUGACUAAUUUGGUUUCCCAUGCCCUUUUGUCUUAUUAAUUCUUAUGGCUUUGAUGAACUUGCAAAUUUGCAAGAUUUUUUUUUUAUGGCUUGCAAAUUUGCAAGAUAAAUAUGCACAGAAGUAUACAUUCAAAAGCACACAUGAUAUUUAGACAAAGAUAUAGUAUAUAUUAGAUUCUGACCAUGCAACUCCUUUCUUUUUUCCU